GCGCCCUUAGCUCAGUUGGAUAGAGCAACGGCCUUCUAAGCCGUGGGUCGCAGGU
This 55-nucleotide transfer RNA is filed under the name Salmonella enterica subsp. enterica serovar Wandsworth str. A4-580. Its description in RNAcentral is "partial tRNA-OTHER". It matches the Rfam family "tRNA", at positions 1 to 52 of the family's 71-position model. Rfam says of the family: Transfer RNA (tRNA) molecules are approximately 80 nucleotides in length. Their secondary structure includes four short double-helical elements and three loops (D, anti-codon, and T loops). Further hydrogen bonds mediate the characteristic L-shaped molecular structure. tRNAs have two regions of fundamental functional importance: the anti-codon, which is responsible for specific mRNA codon recognition, and the 3' end, to which the tRNAs corresponding amino acid is attached (by aminoacyl-tRNA synthetases). tRNAs cope with the degeneracy of the genetic code in two manners: having more than one tRNA (with a specific anti-codon) for a particular amino acid; and 'wobble' base-pairing, i.e. permitting non-standard base-pairing at the 3rd anti-codon position. The record is from RNAcentral. Lineage: Bacteria; Pseudomonadati; Pseudomonadota; Gammaproteobacteria; Enterobacterales; Enterobacteriaceae.